UGCCUAAUACAUGCAAGUCGAGCGAACGGACGAGAAGCUUGCUUCUCUGAUGUUAGCGGCGGACGGGUGAGUAACACGUGGAUAACCUACCUAUAAGACUGGGAUAACUUCGGGAAACCGGAGCUAAUACCGGAUAAUAUCUUGAACCGCAUGGUUCAAAAGUGAAAGACGGUCUUGCUGUCACUUAUAGAUGGAUCCGCGCUGCAUUAGCUAGUUGGUAAGGUAACGGCUUACCAAGGCAACGAUGCAUAGCCGACCUGAGAGGGUGAUCGGCCACACUGGAACUGAGACACGGUCCAGACUCCUACGGGAGGCAGCAGUAGGGAAUCUUCCGCAAUGGGCGAAAGCCUGACGGAGCAACGCCGCGUGAGUGAUGAAGGUCUUCGGAUCGUAAAACUCUGUUAUUAGGGAAGAACAUAUGUGUAAGUAACUGUGCACAUCUUGACGGUACCUAAUCAGAAAGCCACGGCUAACUACGUGCCAGCAGCCGCGGUAGUACGUAGGUGGCAAGCGUUAUCCGGAAUUAUUGGGCGUAAAGCGCGCGUAGGCGGUUUUUUAAGUCUGAUGUGAAAGCCCACGGCUCAACCGUGGAGGGUCAUUGGAAACUGGAAAACUUGAGUGCAGAAGAGGAAAGUGGAAUUCCAUGUGUAGCGGUGAAAUGCGCAGAGAUAUGGAGGAACACCAGUGGCGAAGGCGACUUUCUGGUCUGUAACUGACGCUGAUGUGCGAAAGCGUGGGGAUCAA
RNAcentral lists this ribosomal RNA (744 nucleotides) under uncultured Staphylococcus sp. Its description in RNAcentral is "bacterial SSU rRNA". It matches the Rfam family "Bacterial small subunit ribosomal RNA", at positions 45 to 771 of the family's 1533-position model. The record is from RNAcentral. Lineage: Bacteria; Bacillati; Bacillota; Bacilli; Caryophanales; Staphylococcaceae.